This 311-nucleotide small nuclear RNA is filed under the name Octodon degus (degu). RNAcentral describes it as "7SK RNA (ENSODEG00000023805.1)". It matches the Rfam family "7SK RNA". Rfam says of the family: 7SK was discovered as an abundant small nuclear RNA in the mid-70s but a possible function has only recently been suggested. Two independent studies have found that 7SK RNA binds the CDK9/cyclin T complex (known as elongation factor P-TEFb). Lineage: Eukaryota; Metazoa; Chordata; Mammalia; Rodentia; Octodontidae. The record is from Rfam by way of RNAcentral.
AGAUAUGAGGGCAAUCUGGCUAUGACAUCUGUCACUACUUUGAUCGCCAGGGUUAAUCGGCUGAUCUGGCUGGCUAAGCAGGUGUCCCUUUUCUCCCUCAAUGAUCCAUGUGUGUCCAUCCCAAAGCUGCGUGUUCAGUUGAAAAGAAUGACCUCCCCCAAUAGAGGAGGACUGUUCCUCCGUCAAAGUUAUAUGAAUAACUGCACUCCCCUGCUAGAACCUCCAAACAAGCUCUCAAGAAUACAGCAAAUCAUCAAGAAGAUUAUACAGCAUAACCAGUUAGGACUCAUCACUUGGAUGCAAGAAUAGUU